UCCGGAGUAGCUCAGUUGGUAGAGCGAGUGGCUGUUAACCACCAGGUCGGGGGUUCGAGUCCCUCCUCCGGAGCGA
This 76-nucleotide transfer RNA is filed under the name Fidelibacterota bacterium. RNAcentral describes it as "tRNA-Asn". It matches the Rfam family "tRNA". From Rfam's summary of the family: Transfer RNA (tRNA) molecules are approximately 80 nucleotides in length. Their secondary structure includes four short double-helical elements and three loops (D, anti-codon, and T loops). The record is from RNAcentral. Lineage: Bacteria; Pseudomonadati; Fidelibacterota.